CUCUAGCCCUGAUGGAAGCGACAUCCUUUUGUGGUGGUGUUCACCACAAAAGAUACAGCGGACAGCAGGAAACAGC
Molecule: small RNA, 76 nt
Filed under: Flavobacterium resistens
Lineage: Bacteria; Pseudomonadati; Bacteroidota; Flavobacteriia; Flavobacteriales; Flavobacteriaceae
Description: Flavo-1 RNA
Rfam family: Flavo-1 RNA
Source: RNAcentral